Molecule: non-coding RNA, 83 nt
Organism: Oryctolagus cuniculus (rabbit)
Lineage: Eukaryota; Metazoa; Chordata; Mammalia; Lagomorpha; Leporidae
Source: Ensembl
UGGCCGAUGACGACCAGACCACUGCACAACCUGAGUCCUGCACACCAGGCGUUGGAGUGUGUUCUGAGAACAGACCAAGGCCG